RNAcentral lists this ribosomal RNA (468 nucleotides) under uncultured bacterium. RNAcentral describes it as "partial 16S ribosomal RNA". It matches the Rfam family "Bacterial small subunit ribosomal RNA", at positions 28 to 507 of the family's 1533-position model. The record is from RNAcentral.
GACGAACGCUGGCGGCGUGCUUAACACAUGCAAGUCGAACGGAAAGGCCCUGCUUUUGUGGGGGGCUCGAGUGGCGAACGGGUGAGUAACACGUGAGUAACCUGCCCUUGACUUUGGGAUAACUUCAGGAAACUGGGGCUAAUACCGGAUAGGAGCUCCUGCUGCAUGGUGGGGGUGGGAAAGGUUCGGCGGUUGGGGAUGGACUCGCGGCUUAUCAGCUUGUUGGUGGGGUAGUGGCUUACCAAGGCUUUGACGGGUAGCCGGCCUGAGAGGGUGACCGGCCACAUUGGGACUGAGAUACGGCCCAGACUCCUACGGGAGGCAGCAGUGGGGAAUAUUGCACAAUGGGCGGCAGCCUGAUGCAGCAACGCCGCGUGCGGGAUGACGGCCUUCGGGUUGUAAACCGCUUUCGCCUGUGACGAAGCGUGAGUGACGGUAAUGGGUAAAGAAGCACCGGCUAACUACGUG